This 593-nucleotide ribosomal RNA is filed under the name uncultured Alphaproteobacteria bacterium. RNAcentral's name for it is "bacterial SSU rRNA". It matches the Rfam family "Bacterial small subunit ribosomal RNA", at positions 9 to 649 of the family's 1533-position model. Lineage: Bacteria; Pseudomonadati; Pseudomonadota; Alphaproteobacteria. The record is from RNAcentral.
GAGUUUGAUCAUGGCUCAGAACGAACGCUGGCGGCAGGCUUAACACAUGCAAGUCGAGCGAACCUUCGGGUUAGCGGCGGACGGGUGAGUAACGCGUGGGAACGUGCCCUUCUCUGCGGAAUAGCCUCUGGAAACGGAGAUUAAUAUAAGCAUACGCCCUUCGGGGGAAAGAUUUAUCGGAGAGGGAUCGGCCCGCGUUAGAUUAGGUAGUUGGUGGGGUAAUGGCCUACCAAGCCUACGAUCUAUAGCUGGUUUUAGAGGAUGAUCAGCCACACUGGGACUGAGACACGGCCCAGACUCCUACGGGAGGCAGCAGUGGGGAAUCUUAGACAAUGGGGGAAACCCUGAUCUAGCCAUGCCGCGUGAGUGACGAAGGCCUUAGGGUCGUAAAGCUCUUUCGCCAGGGAUGAUAAUGACAGUACCUGGUAAAGAAACCCCGGCUAACUCCGUGCCAGCAGCCGCGGUAAUACGGAGGGGGUUAGCGUUGUUCGGAAUUACUGGGCGUAAAGCGCACGUAGGCGGACUGUUAAGUCGGGGGUGAAAUCCCGGGGCUCAACCCCGGAACUGCCUUCGAUACUGGCAGUCUAGAGUUC